AAAACUGGUAAAAUACUCAUUAAGGAAUAUGACUUUCAUGACCAAAUGAUUUGUAUAUACAAAAUCAUAACAUUUUAGAAUCAGAACCUCCUCUCUAACAUCAUUAGCUCAAUUUUGGGUACUUUUCUAUGCAAUGUGAAUUCUAGGCUUAGGGGAUGUAGGAUGGAUAUUGAUUUCCUAGAUUUCUCCUGUUGACCCAGUGUAUGCUUCUCUGCUGACUGUGGCUAGUCCUCCUAUAGGAGCCAUCAGUCACCAUAACCAGGUCCCAAAUCAUAUCAACAUCCAGGGAUAGGGACAGAUUUUGGGAAAUGGGCUAUGAAUUCUCACUAUUGACUUUAGAAGUAGAUAAAAGAUCUAAUAAAACUCUCUUCCUCCUCUAUCUGUGCCUAACUGGUAGGUGCCUUUAAUCUAUGAGCAGGGAAAUAGACUCUUUAUUAGCAUAAAUGCAAAUGACUUGAACUGCUGUGACUGGCAGCAGGGAUCAGGUAGUCUAAAUAAGCAUCCAAUAAUCUGUGAUGAGGAUAUGAAGACUUGAUUUAAUUCCUGGAGGAAAAAACUUCUUAUUCUUUGGUUAGUUUCCUUCUAUCACCAAACCCUGCCACCAAUAUGGGGGUGGGGAGGGGAACCAACCCACAUCCCCAGUGAGGUCUUCUCACUUUUAUUAAAUUGGAAUCCUCCAUAACACUCCCCGUACUCCCUUUCCUACUUUUCAUUUUUCUCUAUUGUACUUAGCAGCAUUAUGGCCCAUAUUUUACUUAUUUUGUAUACAGACUCCCCACCACACCCGAAAUGUAAGCUACAUGAGGGCAGGGAUUUUUGUCUCUUGUUCACUGCCUAGAACAGUUCCUAGCAAAUUAGAGACACUUACCUUUGAAACAAGUGGACAAAUGAAUUCAACUCCAUUUCUACUGAAAUCAAGGUCAUUUGACACAAGUUCCCCUAAAUUUCCCCUUCACCUCAGAAUGUCUGGAAUCUUAGCCAUCUUUGCCAGCUCCCUCACCAAGACCAACCCUUCAGCUCUGUUCCUGAUUAUUCUUUUGCUCUUCUUUGAAUAUUGCUGCUUCAAUUACGUCUCAUUCAUCUUUUUUAACAUUUCUCUCCUGAUUGAUUUCUUUCAGCCAAAUCUAGAGAUCUACUUAAAUCUGAACUUUCCUUGACAUCUCUAUAGCAUCUGUCAACUAUGUCCAUAUUUUCCUUGAAAUUCUAUGGCUUCUGAGAUAUUUCUUGGCUUUCUAAGUUGCUUACUCUGUCUCCACUGCUUCCUCUUCCUCCUACACACUAAACAGACCUGAAAUCUCUGCUCCUUUCCCAUAUGUUCAGUUGUCACCUCUGUGUGUGAUGCUUAAAAUGCUUAAAAUGAUUACAUUUCCAGCUCUAACUCCUCAAUCGAGAUCCACACCUGCAUAUCCAUGAUUCUUUACUUGAGCCCAAAAUCUUAGAGUGGAACUCAUGUCCUCUUACUUCCUUUUAUCAAUGGGUUCCACCUCAGAUUUUACAGCAUCCCCCCCCCCACUCCCCUGCCAAUGUCUUUCCAUCCAUGUCUCUCUUCCACUUUUGGCACAUGAUAGUUUCUGUCCUUAUACUUGGCUUACUGAAGUGGACUUCCAAUGGCCCUUUGCAAAUAGAAAUUUGCAACCAGUUGCUCUUCUUCUACAUAGCCAGCAUAGUAACACUGGAUUCAUUUUUAUAAAAAUAUGCUGACUAUACAACCACUGGAUCGGAAAUCUUCAGUGAUUCACUCUUGCUUAUAUGAUAAAGUUUGAGCAGGGAGUCAGACUCUUCCACAACUUGAUUCCAACCAACAUCCCACUAUGUGUCCUAAUACUCCCUAAGUUCUCAACAAAUUGAGCUCCCUACCUUUCCUGACACCUGGUGCUCUCUUACUGCUGUGGAUUUGUUCAUUUUAAGUCUCCUUUCAUAAAAAGUUUUUGUAUUUUUAUAAGACCCAGCUCAAAUACCAAAUAGAUGCAUAACUACAACACAACGUACUGUAUGCUUCAUGUCACUGGAGUAUAAAAUAAUAUAGGAAUCAAAUGGGAACACUUUAUUUCUGAUUCUAGAUUAUGUAAGUCUUUUAAGAAGGAGUCCAAUUCAUUUUUGUAUACGAAGAAAUAUUCCAUAAGUACCUUGCAUAUAAUAGUUUACUUGAUCUCUGUGUGGUAUCCACAUGAAGGAGACACCAAUAUGAAGGUGUGUAUAUGUAAUUCUGUGAAUAUCCAUUUAGCCUUUAUAAUAAAGUAUCUCCUACUCGCUAACAAGAUUACAAGUUUUUUUUCAUGACAAAGACUUGCUUUUCAAAACCACUCUGCUUGUCUGAUACCACAGACAGCCACUGACAGUGGCAUUUGUUCAACUCACAGUUACUACUGUGCAUGUACUAUGUAACUGGCACUUUGUUGGAUGCUUACUUACAAGAUGAGUGAAGACACAGUCUUCAUCCUAAGAAAUUUAACUCUGUGGUCUUAAAGAAUUAAUGAAGCUAUGGAGUAUGGGUAUGAGGGGGUUAGGGAAUAGCAUUUUGACUUCUGUUUUCCCAUUGUUCAUAUGUAAUUUUUGCUCUAUUUAUAACUACUUAAAUUGAGCUUUAAAGGAUAUUUGCUUCCACAGGUAAGAACAGAAUAUCAUGCUCAGUCAUUAUCUCAAUAUUGUGCGAGAUGUGUGUUAAUCCCUUGGUCCCAUCCUCUCCAACGGCCAUGGCAAAUAACUCCACCUUGAGUUCAGUCUGCAAACCAGCCGCCACCUAUAGGACACAAGUGUGCCUAAUGGAGGACCUGUGAUGUGACAAAGCCAGCAGAAGGAGACAGAAUGAGUUUAAAUGCCAAACUGCUUAGGUCUGAAAGCUACGUGGAAGAGGUCUGGACCAACAAAGAAGAAACCUGAUAUAUAAUGAAGAAGAAACACAGCAAGGAAUGGGCUUCUUGCCUUGUUCCUUGAAGAGAACACUGGCCAGGAAAGAAAGAGCUGUUUGUGUUCCUAAGCUGCCUCUCCAGGAGGUAGGCUAAAAAGCAGACUUGAGAACGAACAACUGUCUGGAAAAAAUACAUCAGAAACCACCACAUGGAAAGCAAUUAGAUACAAGUACUUUUUUCUUCAUAGUUUAUAAAUAAUAGAACUGAAAAAUGUUUCAACUUCUUCAACAAUGUACUUAUGAAGGUCUGCUUACUGGAAGGUAUCCAACUCUCCAUGUCUGAGGACCAGGCCCUUUGCCCUUCAGCCCAACAAUGAGGGCAAGGCUGGGAUGACGCCACUCUGCACAAGGCAGCUGGCACCCUGCCCCCGCUCAGAUCUACUCUGACCCUGGGUGUAUUCAUUCAGCAUUGGCAACUAAGCAGGCUGAACAGUGGUUAGAUUUACAUAUGGAGAAGUCUAUAGAUUAUAUUUUUGCAGAGCCAAAACUGUCAAAAAGAAAAUAAUAAUAACAAUAAUAAUAA
Molecule: long non-coding RNA, 3431 nt
Organism: Lutra lutra (Eurasian river otter)
Lineage: Eukaryota; Metazoa; Chordata; Mammalia; Carnivora; Mustelidae
Exons: 2
Source: RefSeq, a predicted model, not a curated record